AGACCCGAAACCCGGUGAUCUAGCCAUGGGCAGGUUGAAGGUUGGGUAACACUAACUGGAGGACCGAACCGACUAAUGUUGAAAAAUUAGCGGAUGACCUGUGGCUGGGGGUGAAAGGCCAAUCAAACCGGGAGAUAGCUGGUUCUCCCCGAAAGCUAUUUAGGUAGCGCCUCGUGAAUUCAUCUCCGGGGGUAGAGCACUGUUUCGGCUAGGGGGCCAUCCCGGCUUACCAACCCGAUGCAAACUGCGAAUACCGGAGAAUGUUAUCACGGGAGACACACGGCGGGUGCUAACGUCCGUCGUGAAGAGGGAAACAACCCAGACCGCCAGCUAAGGUCCCAAAGUCAUGGUUAAGUGGGAAACGAUGUGGGAAGGCCCAGACAGCCAGGAUGUUGGCUUAGAAGCAGCCAUCAUUUAAAGAAAGCGUAAUAGCUCACUGGUCGAGUCGGCCUGCGCGGAAGAUGUAACGGGGCUAAACCAUGCACCGAAGCUGCGGCAGCGAACGUAUCACUUAAAGCGAUUCAGCGGGUUACGAUUGACGGAGCGAAGCGACGUCAAAGCGUAUACAAAGUCGAGUCGGUUUAAGGAUACGUUCGUUGGGUAGGGGAGCGUUCUGUAAGCCUGCGAAGGUGGCCUGUGAGGGUUGCUGGAGGUAUCAGAAGUGCGAAUGCUGACAUAAGUAACGAUAAAGCGGGUGAAAAGCCCGCUCGCCGGAAGACCAAGGGUUCCUGUCCAACGUUAAUCGGGGCAGGGUGAGUCGACCCCUAAGGCGAGGCCGAAAGGCGUAGUCGAUGGGAAACGGGUUAAUAUUCCCGUACUUGGUGUUACUGCGAAGGGGGGACGGAGAAGGCUAUGUUGGCCGGGCGACGGUUGUCCCGGUUUAAGCGUGUAGGCUGGUUUUCCAGGCAAAUCCGGAAAAUCAAGGCUGAGGCGUGACGACGAGGCACUACGGUGCUGAAGCAACAAAUGCCCUGCUUCCAGGAAAAGCCUCUAAGCAUCAGGUAACACGAAAUCGUACCCCAAACCGACACAGGUGGUCAGGUAGAGAAUACCAAGGCGCUUGAGAGAACUCGGGUGAAGGAACUAGGCAAAAUGGUGCCGUAACUUCGGGAGAAGGCACGCUGACACGUAGGUGAAGUGAUUUACUCAUGGAGCUGAAGUCAGUCGAAGAUACC
Molecule: ribosomal RNA, 1175 nt
Filed under: Salmonella enterica subsp. enterica serovar Thompson
Lineage: Bacteria; Pseudomonadati; Pseudomonadota; Gammaproteobacteria; Enterobacterales; Enterobacteriaceae
Also listed under: 1 other name
Description: partial 23S ribosomal RNA
Rfam family: Bacterial large subunit ribosomal RNA
Source: RNAcentral